RNAcentral lists this ribosomal RNA (484 nucleotides) under uncultured bacterium. Its description in RNAcentral is "bacterial SSU rRNA". It matches the Rfam family "Bacterial small subunit ribosomal RNA", at positions 791 to 1274 of the family's 1533-position model. The record is from RNAcentral.
UAGUCCACGUCGUAAACGAUGGGUACUAGCCGUUGGGAGGGUUUGCCUCUUAGUGGCGCAGCUAACGCGAUAAGUACCCCGCCUGGGGAGUACGGCCGCAAGGCUAAAACUCAAAGGAAUUGACGGGGGCCUGCACAAGCGGUGGAGCAUGUGGUUUAAUUCGAUGCAACGCGAAGAACCUUACCUGCCCUUGACAUCUUCGGAAUCUUUUAGAGAUAAGAGAGUGCCUUCGGGAACCGAAUGACAGGUGCUGCAUGGCUGUCGUCAGCUCGUGUCGUGAGAUGUUGGGUCAAGUCCCGCAACGAGCGCAACCCUUGCCAUUAGUUGCCAGCCUUAAGUUGGGCACUCUAAUGGGACCGCUUGCCGAUAAGGCAGAGGAAGGUGGGGAUGACGUCAAGUCCGCAUGGCCCUUACGACCAGGGGCUACACACGUACUACAAUGGCACGCACAAAGCGAAGCUAGUCGGCGACGACAUGCGAAUCG